GGGACUGCCUGGGUUAACCAGGAGGAAGGUGGGGAUGACGUCAAAUCAUCAUGCCCCUUAUGCUCUGGGCUACACACGUGCUACAAUGGCCGGUACAAUGAGUUGCAAAACCCCGUGAGGGGGAGCUAAUCUCAAAAACCGGUCCCAGUUCGGAUUGUAGGCUGCAACUCGCCUACAUGAAGCCGGAGUUGCUAGUAAUCGCGGAUCAGCAUGCCGCGGUGAAUACGUUCCCGGGCCUUGUACACACCGCCCGUCACACCAUGAGAGCCGGCAACACCCGAAGCCAGUGGGCUAACCCGCAAGGGAGGCAGCUGUCGAAGGUGGGGCUGGUGAUUGGGGUGAAGUCGUAACAAGGUAGCCGUAGGAGAACCUGCGGCUGGAUCACCUCCUUU
Molecule: non-coding RNA, 392 nt
Filed under: Thermobrachium celere DSM 8682
Lineage: Bacteria; Bacillati; Bacillota; Clostridia; Eubacteriales; Clostridiaceae
Description: Bacterial small subunit ribosomal RNA
Rfam family: Bacterial small subunit ribosomal RNA
Source: Rfam by way of RNAcentral